Molecule: ribosomal RNA, 415 nt
Filed under: uncultured bacterium
Lineage: Bacteria
Description: bacterial SSU rRNA
Rfam family: Bacterial small subunit ribosomal RNA
Source: RNAcentral
AAUAUUGGUCAAUGGAUGGAAGUCUGAACCAGCCAUGCCGCGUGCAGGAAGAAGGCCUUCUGGGUUGUAAACUGCUUUUGCCAGGGGAUAAAAAUUCCAUGCGUGGAAAAUUGAAGGUACCUGGUGAGUAAGCCACGGCUAACUACGUGCCAGCAGCCGCGGUAAUACGUAGGUGGCAAGCGUUGUCCGGAUUUAUUGGGUUUAAAGGGUGCGUAGGCGGCUUAUUAAGUCAGUGGUGAAAUACUCUAGCUCAACUAGAGGGGUGCCAUUGAUACUGAUGAGCUUGAGUACAGAUGAGGUAGGCGGAAUUGACGGUGUAGCGGUGAAAUGCUUAGAUAUCGUCAAGAACACCUAUAGCGAAGGCAGCUUACUAGGCUGUAACUGACGCUGAGGCACGAAAGUGUGGGGAUCAAAC